AUGUGAAGCUCCUUCCAGUCCUGAGUGCUCCAGAAGAAACGUUAAUGAGUCCAUGUACAAAUGUGAGUGGAGAAUGAAUACGACGCAGAGCGAUGUGAAGUUUGACUUUUACUUUGAAAUGCAUGAUGAGGAGAUUGCAGAAGUAUCUGCUGGCUUGACCUCUGCAACCAAAACAGAAGUGAAAACUAAAAAAAGCUUGGGACCUUUAAGAACACCUCAGCUCAGUUCCUUGAGGACCAGGUUACGAAUUAUGAAGCUGUGAAUAUUUGGGUGGAAGCACGUGUUGGAAAUUCCAGCUGUGCGUCAGUCAAGAGAAGUGUGAUACUCGCAGACAUAAUCAAGUAUGAAGCUCCACGCGACAUUUCCAUGUCCUGGGUAAAAAACAACCUUCACUUAAACUGGAGAGAGGAGAACCAUCCGGCUUUAGCUGAGGUCCGGUUCCGUCAAGAUGAAGGCUCCUCCUGGCAGAGUAGAUCAAAUACAACAACAACCAAGGGGACGACUUCUAUGUUCCAGAUGGUUUGUUGAGGAACUCAUCGUACAAGGUUCACAUCAGACAGCAGUCCACCCAGGCCCUUAACCCCACUGUGGAGCCCCUGGUCUUCAGUUGUGCGAGUUCCUGCAGGUUGAGUGAAAACGUCAUGUUGACUUGGUUUGA
Notolabrus celidotus (New Zealand spotty) is the source of this 658-nucleotide long non-coding RNA. RefSeq lists it as uncharacterized. The record is from RefSeq and is a predicted model, not a curated record. NCBI's taxonomy places the organism in Eukaryota, Metazoa, Chordata, Actinopteri, Labriformes, Labridae. The transcript is spliced from 6 exons.